GUCUCCGUAACGGAAAACCGAUCAAUAAAAGUUGAAUCUUUUAUAUUUUGUUGGAUUUAAAAACAUGACAACGAUAUACAAAAGAUAAAAAUUAGCGAAUUGAACCAUCUAAGUAGCUAAUAAAAAAAUCAACCGAGAAUAUCGUAAGUAGUGGCGAGCGAACACGGUAAAGGCUUUUUUGUCUUUAGGUAGAUCUAAUUCGAUUACCAAAAACAAAUUUAAUUGGUUUAACACUAAUUUAAACUUCCAAAGAAGGUAUUUUUGAGUAAGUCCUGUAAAAUUUAGUCAUAACAAUUAAAAAACAGUAAAAUAAAACAAGUCAUGUUUUGUUUGAAGAUUGAGGUCCCACCCUCAAAGCCUAAAUAAUUUUUGAUGAUAGAUAGCGAACUAGUACCGUGAGGGAAAUGGGUGAAAUUUAAUGCUGACAAUCAGUUGAAGCUUAAAAAUUUUUAAAAGUGACAGCGAUCCUUUUGCAUAAUGCGUCAACGAGUUUAUUUUAGAGGCAAGCUUAAGCUGUGUAAAGUGUAGGCUAAAAGAAACUAAAAAAGUCUUAAAUUGCUUUUUAAGUCACUAAAAUAAGACCCGAAACUAAGUGAUCUAACCAUGAACAGGUUGAAUUUAAAGCGGCAACGCUUAUUGGAGGACCGAACCCGUGUAUGUGGAAAUAUACUGGGAUGAUUUGUGGUUAGGGGUGAAAGGCCAAUCAAACUUAGAGAUAGCUGGUUUUCUGCGAAAUCUAUUUAAGUAGAGCGUUUAAAAACUUUGAUUUGAGGUAGAGCUCUUAAUAAAUAAGGGGGGUGUAAAACUUUACCGAAUUUAAUAAAACUUCGAAUACAAAACAAAAGAGUUUAAGCAGACAGACUGUGAGUGCUAAGAUUCAUAGUCAAGAGGGAAACAGCCCAGACUAUUUGUUAAGGCCCUUAAAAGUAAUUAAGUGAAAAAGAAAGUGAAAAAAUUUUAACAACCGGAAGGUAGGCUUGGAAGCAGCCAUCCUUUAAAGAAAGCGUAACAGCUCACUGGUUUAGUUUUUUUGCGUCAAAAAUGUAGAGGGACUAAAAUUACUUGCCGAAGCAAUAGAUUUAAAUUGUUAAAAUUUAAAUGGUAGCAGAACGUUCUGUAAAUCAACGGAGGUUUAUGGUGACAUAAACUGGAGAAAUCAGAAGUGUAAAUGUUGACAUGAGUAGCGAAAAACAAUGUACAAGCAUUGUUGCCUUAAGUUCAAGGUUUCCAAAGCAAGUCUAUCCCUCUUUGGUUGAAUCGGUCCCUAAGGUCUUAACGAAAGUUAAAGAUUGAUGGAAAAUAAUAUUAUUGUAAUUUAAAGUGACAAAAUAUAAAGAUCAUUUUUAUCUAAUGGUUUUGAUAAAAGUUUUUUAGUAUUUUCAAGAAAUAGCUUUAGUAAAAUUAACCGUACUGUAAACCGACACAGGUGAUCAGGUAGAGAAUACCAAGGCGCUUGAGAGAACUCGGGUGAAGGAACUAGGCAAAAUGGUACCGUAACUUCGGGAGAAGGUACGCCGGUUUUGGUGAUGGGACUUGCUCCCUAAGCUGAGGCCGGUCGAAGUGACCAGGUGGCUGCGACUGUUUAUUAAAAACACAGCACUGUGCAAACACGAAAGUGGACGUAUACGGUGUGACGCCUGCCCGGUGCCGGAAGGUUAAUUGAUGGGGUUAUCUUCGGAGAAGCUCUUGAUCGAAGCCCCGGUAAACGGCGGCCGUAACAAUAACGGU
RNAcentral lists this ribosomal RNA (1728 nucleotides) under Minutocellus polymorphus. Its description in RNAcentral is "partial Bacterial large subunit ribosomal RNA". It matches the Rfam family "Bacterial large subunit ribosomal RNA", at positions 110 to 1949 of the family's 2925-position model. The record is from RNAcentral. Lineage: Eukaryota; Bacillariophyta; Thalassiosirophyceae; Cymatosirales; Cymatosiraceae.